AGGGGCAGAGCGGCAGAGGGGCAGAGGGUAGAAGCACUGAAAGAAGAGAAGAGGCACCCAGUUUGGGCAGGAUGAAUAUUAGCGAUCUCAGAGCAGCUCUAACACAUGGGACAAGAAUGGGAGCACUCUGCUGAAUGAGCACAGCCACACAUCUUAGAGCACUCAGCAUGGGACGGCACCUGGCUGCUCUUCCUUUCAGUUCUCUUUCUAUGGCUGGUUAGCACUGAGCAUCCACAAAACCAUUCUCCCUGCUCCCAUCUCACCCUGACUGUGAACUCCUUCAGCAAGUUCCUCGCACCAGUAGUCACAUCAUGGACUUCAUUAUCAGCACAGAUGGUGCCAAUUAGCUUCUGCAUGAGGCUUUGAUAUGGAAAGAGCAACAGAAGCCUGUGUGGUCACCCAGGCAUGAGUGCCUCUGGCUUAGGGACAGCAGUGUCUUUACCUUCCGCAGCUCAUCAUCCACCUGUGCUCAAUCUGUCAGAAGACAGUCUCAGCCUGAGCCCAACUUACAACACGC
Molecule: long non-coding RNA, 517 nt
Filed under: Rattus norvegicus (Norway rat)
Lineage: Eukaryota; Metazoa; Chordata; Mammalia; Rodentia; Muridae
Description: long non-coding RNA NONRATT028207
Source: RNAcentral